GAUGAACGCUGUCUACAGGCUUAACACAUGCAAGUCGAGGGGAAACGCCGGGGAAGCUUGCUUCCCCGGGCGUCGACCGGCGCACGGGUGAGUAACGCGUAUCCAACCUGCCUCUGACUGAGGGAUAACCCGUCGAAAGUCGGCCUAAUACCUCAUGGCAUCGUCUGCGGGCAUCCAACGACGAUUAAAGAUUUCAUCGGUCAGGGAUGGGGAUGCGUCUGAUUAGCUUGUUGGCGGGGUAACGGCCCACCAAGGCUACGAUCAGUAGGGGUUCUGAGAGGAAGGUCCCCCACAUGGGAACUGGGACACGGUCCAAACUGCUACGGGAGGCAGCAGUGAGGAAUAUUGGUCAAGGGGCGGGAGCCUGAACCAGCCAAGUAGCGUGCAGGAGGACGGCCCUAGGGGUGGUAAACUGCUUUUAUGCGGGGAUAAAGUGAGGGACGUGUCCUUCAUUGCAGGUACCGCAUGAAUAAGGACCGGCUAAUUCCGUG
This 491-nucleotide ribosomal RNA is filed under the name uncultured bacterium. RNAcentral's name for it is "partial 16S ribosomal RNA". It matches the Rfam family "Bacterial small subunit ribosomal RNA", at positions 28 to 507 of the family's 1533-position model. The record is from RNAcentral.